CUAUAAGAACAAAAUAUCGAUAAAAUGUGUGACGUUUCUAAGGGGGGGUGGGGGGGGGGGUCUCCAGAGAAACGAACAUAUGACGUUUCUCAUGGACAAAAUCGAUAAGUGAGGCUUCCCUUGAAAGCUUCCAUCUCGUCCAUCUCCUGCUUGAUUUUGGUAGCUCCUGCUAGGGGCAGAAGUCGAGAGAAAAUGCCGGGUCCGUAAAACGCUAUUAGUCAGUUCACUUUCAAUCAGUUGUUAACUGAUCCAUAAGGGAUAUGUCACAUUUAGUCUUGCGACGCAUCCGGGGAUACUAAUUUUGAUCAGGUCAGCAGUCGCACGUAUUUUUACGCACGUAUUUUUAUUCAGUCUACCAUUCCUCUAUAAAACAUACUCCGUACUAUAACAACAACAACUCAAUGGCCCGAUUUGUACUAGAGACGGAUCAACUUGAGCUGACAAAAAAUACGGCGGCAAAAAGAUGGAUCAUCCGUUUUGAACUAUACCUGUAUGCGUAGUUCUUCUUCAAUGAGCGAACUUACGCAUGAGCGCUUCGUACUUUCCCUUCAGGAUACAUCCGCCUAUAGUUUUCUAAUUAAAACAUGAACUCUCAUGAAAAUACCAAGUAAUAUUUGUUCACAGGACCACUGGUAGACGAUCCAUCUCUAGACGAAAUCAUGUUAUCGGGCCAACAUAGCCUAUAUAUUGCCACUACAACAUUUAGCGUCGUACAAAAUAAUUACUGUUGUUCGUGAUUAUUCUGCGAAGUCUCUUUGUUCUCAGUAAAGUUUCCGAGCAGCAGCCCAAUGAUUGACUUGGCGAGAAAGUUCCGCCGCCAUAUCUUUGUCCACAUCAGGUGCCUCUUUUGAUGUAAUGAUACAGUUUAAUAAAUCCACCAACAUACGAGCGCUUUCAAUCACAUUUGGAAAUGGUAUUUUCUACA
Molecule: non-coding RNA, 925 nt
Organism: Paramuricea clavata
Lineage: Eukaryota; Metazoa; Cnidaria; Anthozoa; Malacalcyonacea; Plexauridae
Source: the annotation of a GenBank genome assembly